UACGAGUGCCCCAAGCGUUAUCUGGAAUCAUUGGGCGUAAAGGGUGUGUAGGUGGUUGUGUUAGUCUUCUGUUAAAUCGCACGGCUUAACCGGGAGUCUGCAGGGGAAACGGCACAACUAGAGGAUGCGAGGGGUGAAUGGAACUCAUGGAGUAGGGGUGAAAUCCGUUGAUAUCAUGGGGAACACCAAAAGCGAAGGCAAUUCACUGGCGCAUUCCUGACACUGAGACACGAAAGCGUGGGUAGCGAACGGG
Molecule: ribosomal RNA, 253 nt
Filed under: uncultured bacterium
Lineage: Bacteria
Description: partial 16S ribosomal RNA
Rfam family: Bacterial small subunit ribosomal RNA
Source: RNAcentral